CCGAACUCGCAGCCCUGUGCGCGAAGAAUGAUUCAGCGGAACGUCCUCUUCUUGAGUUACCUGCACAAGCAACCCGACCCGGCCUUCAUCCAUGUAACCAAGAACAGGUGUCACCAAGAAACAGGUACCAGGAAAUGCAUGGCGAGAGGAAAAAAAAAAGAAAAGAAAAAAACGUCUGAAGAAUCAAUUGAUGAAAGCGACACCGAAUGAGAUGUGUGCAGAAGCUCUGGAAACGGCAGAGAUGUUGGCAGGCGCCGAGCGCGUUGGCACGGAGUCCGCUGGCGCCAAACCUCGGCUGGUAGGCAGCAAGUCCCCCAACCUGAGGAGCCCCGAAUAUUUCGGGAAAAAAGGAACGAGACGCAGGGAGGAGGGACAGACGAAAAACACAAACACGAGCGGGGUUAAGGGCCCUCUCGCGUGCCAGCGCUGACCGCUGGAGAGGCCAAGGGCGAGACUGGCCCUUCCUCCCAACGCUGUCGAACAAAACUCCAGGAAAAUUCAUGAUCUACAAGUGUGUGGAGGGACCAUAUCUGCAGAUUCUCAAUUUUCCUUGAACACAUUACAUGCCCUGAUGACCUCACUUGGAAAUUCUGUUGAAUGUCCUAAAACUGAAUUGAGAAACGAAGGUCUAAGAGAAAGGAGGUGUCACAGUGUGAGAAUAGAAUAUAUACAACACACAAGCUCUAUAUUUCUCCACUAACCCAGACUGCCCCAUUCACUGAUAGAUUUUCUUCUGUCUUCUAUUUUUACUGAAGAUGUAAGGCUCUUAUAAGAGCGUAUAUCCUCUAUUGCCAGAUAUUGUAUGGGCCGAACAAAACAGGCACUUAAAAUGAAGGGUUAUCACUCAUAUUUGGGGAAGAUUUAUCCUCGGUUGGACCGCUUGUGUUAGCGUGGCCUUGAUGGGGAAGCAUUAUUUCCUGAACAAGUGUUGUGCCUUAACAAGAGAUUUAUAAAUCUGGCAAACUGGUCCACAUCCCUGACCUGAGUAGAUUUGUUAGGGAACACCAAACAAAACCAACCAAGGGGUAGAGAGAACAAAUACAUCGCCCAACCACCCCGCACCCCCCACCCCCCGAUGGCACCAGUAUUGGUGGGCGGAGCCAGUGGUGGCGACAUCAGCCAAUGCGAGCAUUUGCCUCGCGGAACCAAUUCCCAGGGGCGGCAGACCUACGGCAGCUGCGGGCGACGCUGCGCCCAUGCCAACCGCCAACCGCGGCGGCUUUGCCCGCUGGAUCAUCUGUUCCGGCACGUCCAUCUGCACCCGCACCCCCCCACCCCCCACACCCCACAC
Anguilla rostrata (American eel) is the source of this 1291-nucleotide long non-coding RNA. RefSeq lists it as uncharacterized. Lineage: Eukaryota; Metazoa; Chordata; Actinopteri; Anguilliformes; Anguillidae. The record is from RefSeq and is a predicted model, not a curated record. The transcript is spliced from 3 exons.